RNAcentral lists this ribosomal RNA (494 nucleotides) under uncultured bacterium. Its description in RNAcentral is "partial 16S ribosomal RNA". It matches the Rfam family "Bacterial small subunit ribosomal RNA", at positions 28 to 507 of the family's 1533-position model. The record is from RNAcentral.
GACGAACGCUGGCGGCGUGCUUAACACAUGCAAGUCGAACGGAAAGGCCUGCUUUCCCUUGUGGAUUGCGGGUACUCGAGUGGCGAACGGGUGAGUAACACGUGAGUGAUCUGCCCCCAACUUGGGUAUAAGCCUGGGAAACUGGGUCUAAUUCCCGAUAGGACUGCAGGGUGGUGCCUGUGGUGGAAAACGAUUUUCUAGUGGUUGGGGAUGAGCUCGCGGCCUAUCAGCUUGGUGGUGGGGUAAUGGCCUACCAAGGCGGCGACGGGUAGCCGGCCUGGGAGGGUGGACGGCCACAUUGGGACUGAGAUACGGCCCAGACGCCUACGGGAGGCAGCAGUGGGGAAUAUUGCACGAUGGGCGGAAGCCUGAUGCAGCGACGCCGCGUGGGGGAUGACGGCCUUCGGGUUGUAAACUCCUUUCGACCGCGAGGAAGCCACCUGGUUGGAAGGGUGGUGACGGUAGUGGUAGAAGAAGCACCGGCUAACUACGUG